RNAcentral lists this ribosomal RNA (877 nucleotides) under uncultured bacterium. RNAcentral's name for it is "bacterial SSU rRNA". It matches the Rfam family "Bacterial small subunit ribosomal RNA", at positions 9 to 901 of the family's 1533-position model. The record is from RNAcentral.
GAGUUUGAUCAUGGCUCAGGAUGAACGCUGGCGGCGUGCCUAACACAUGCAAGUCGAGCGAACCCUUCGGGGUGAGCGGCGGACGGGUGAGUAACGCGUGGGUAACCUGCCCUAUACACACGGAUAACGUACCGAAAGGUACGCUAAUACGAGAUGACAUAUUUUUAUCGCAUGGUAGAAAUAUCAAAGCUCCGGCGGUAUAGGAUGGACCCGCGUCUGAUUAGCUAGUUGGUAAGGUAAUGGCUUACCAAGGCGACGAUCAGUAGCCGACCUGAGAGGGUGAUCGGCCACAUUGGAACUGAGACACGGUCCAAACUCCUACGGGAGGCAGCAGUGGGGAAUAUUGCACAAUGGGCGCAAGCCUGAUGUAGCAACGCCGCGUGAGUGAAGAAGUAUUUCGGUAUGUAAAGCUCUAUCAGCAGGGAAGAAAGGCUCGAAAGAGAGAUGACGGUACCUGACUAAGAAGCCCCGGCUAACUACGUGCCAGCAGCCGCGGUAAUACGUAGGGGGCAAGCGUUAUCCGGAUUUACUGGGUGUAAAGGGAGCGCAGACGGCAGUGCAAGUCUGAUGUGAAAGCCCGGGGCUCAACCCCGGAACUGCAUUGGAAACUGUACAGCUCGAGUAUUGGAGAGGUAAGCGGAAUUCCUAGUGUAGCGGUGAAAUGCGUAGAUAUUAGGAGGAACACCGGUGGCGAAGGCGGCUUACUGGACGACAACUGACGUUGAGGCUCGAAAGCGUGGGGAGCAAACAGGAUUAGAUACCCUGGUAGUCCACGCUGUAAACGAUGAAUACUAGGUGUAGGUACGCAAAGCGUAUCUGUGCCGCAGCUAACGCAAUAAGUAUUCCACCUGGGGAGUACGUUCGCAAGAAUGAAACU